GAAUCAUACAGGGGGAGCUCGCCGCAGCGGGCUGAGAGGAGGCUUUGUCGCUUCGACCCACAACCUGAUUUGGAUAAUGCCAACGUAGGGACAGCAUCGUAUUUUAUGG
RNAcentral lists this non-coding RNA (109 nucleotides) under Eubacterium limosum. RNAcentral describes it as "TPP sequence". It matches the Rfam family "TPP riboswitch aptamer (THI element)". From Rfam's summary of the family: Vitamin B(1) in its active form thiamin pyrophosphate (TPP) is an essential coenzyme that is synthesised by coupling of pyrimidine and thiazole moieties in bacteria. Lineage: Bacteria; Bacillati; Bacillota; Clostridia; Eubacteriales; Eubacteriaceae. The record is from RNAcentral. RNAcentral also lists the same sequence under 1 other name.